This is a long non-coding RNA of Monodelphis domestica (gray short-tailed opossum), 485 nucleotides long. RefSeq lists it as uncharacterized. Lineage: Eukaryota; Metazoa; Chordata; Mammalia; Didelphimorphia; Didelphidae. The record is from RefSeq and is a predicted model, not a curated record.
CUCAGCCAGGUGAGGCUGGCCACACUUGGUACUGCACUCUCCAAAGAGGACACUGGACCAGUGAUGGUGAACCUUUCAUAGACCUGAGUGCUCCAACUGCAACCCUCAAGCUGCAUAAUGUCUUUGUGAGAAACUUUCUCUCCCAAUGGAAAGUGGAAACUUUCUUGCAUCAUAAAAUCUUAAACAUCUGUUUCCGCUAUGGAGAGAGUAAGUGAUUUGUGCAGCAUCACACAUUAAUGUAAAGGAGAGAAGAAAACUGAGGCCAACAGAACUUUGGUGACCUGCUCAGGGUCAGCCAGCCAGCCAGCCAGGAUUUGAAUUCGGGUCGUACUCAAUCCAGGUCCCUGGCUGCUUAAUGGGUGUUCGUUGUAUCGCACUGAAUGCUACAGAAGGCCGGCUUUUCCUCUCUGGGGGUUGGUAAUUGCCCAUGAAAACAAGGGGGCCCUUUUAAGAACAUACAGAAAAUCUACCGUGGAGAUAUAAAA